RNAcentral lists this transfer RNA (99 nucleotides) under Saccharolobus islandicus Y.N.15.51. Its description in RNAcentral is "Sulfolobus islandicus Y.N.15.51 tRNA-Leu". It matches the Rfam family "tRNA". From Rfam's summary of the family: Transfer RNA (tRNA) molecules are approximately 80 nucleotides in length. RNAcentral also lists the same sequence under 6 other names. The record is from RNAcentral. Lineage: Archaea; Thermoproteati; Thermoproteota; Thermoprotei; Sulfolobales; Sulfolobaceae.
GCGGGGGUGCCCGAGCUGGUCAAAGGGGGCGGACUCAAGACCCUUUAGUAAGAGAUCCGCUGGCGAAGGCCUUCGCGGGUUCAAAUCCCGUCCCCCGCA